This 593-nucleotide ribosomal RNA is filed under the name uncultured bacterium. RNAcentral describes it as "bacterial SSU rRNA". It matches the Rfam family "Bacterial small subunit ribosomal RNA", at positions 911 to 1502 of the family's 1533-position model. The record is from RNAcentral.
UGACGGGGGCCCGCACAAGCGGUGGAGCAUGUGGUUUAAUUCGACGCAACGCGAAGAACCUUACCUGGCCUUGACAUCCAGAGAACUUUCCAGAGAUGGAUUGGUGCCUUCGGGAACUCUGAGACAGGUGCUGCAUGGCCGUCGUCAGCUCGUGUCGUGAGAUGUUGGGUUAAGUCCCGUAACGAGCGCAACCCCUAUCCCUGGUUGGUAGCAGGUAAUGUUGAGAACUCCAGGGAGACUGCCGGUGACAAACCGGAGGAAGGUGGGGAUGACGUCAGGUCAUCAUGGCCCUUACGGCCAGGGCUACACACGUGCUACAAUGGCGCGUACAGAGGGCUGCCAACUCGCGAGAGUGCGCCAAUCCCUUAAAACGCGUCGUAGUCCGGAUCGGAGUCUGCAACUAGACUCCGUGAAGUCGGAAUCGCUAGUAAUCGCGAAUCAGAAUGUCGCGGUGAAUACGUUCCCGGGCCUUGUACACACCGCCCGUCACACCAUGGGAGUGGAUUGCACCAGAAGUAGUUAGUCUAACCUUCGGGAGGACGAUUACCACGGUGUGGUUCAUGAUCUGGGGUGCAGUCGUAACAAGGUAGCCG